This 2771-nucleotide ribosomal RNA is filed under the name Klebsiella pneumoniae. RNAcentral's name for it is "partial 23S ribosomal RNA". It matches the Rfam family "Bacterial large subunit ribosomal RNA". The record is from RNAcentral. Lineage: Bacteria; Pseudomonadati; Pseudomonadota; Gammaproteobacteria; Enterobacterales; Enterobacteriaceae.
GCACUAUCGUUAACUGAAUACAUAGGUUAACGAGGCGAACCGGGGGAACUGAAACAUCUAAGUACCCCGAGGAAAAGAAAUCAACCGAGAUUCCCCCAGUAGCGGCGAGCGAACGGGGAGCAGCCCAGAGUCUGAAUCAGCUUGUGUGUUAGUGGAACGGUCUGGAAAGUCCGACGGUACAGGGUGAUAGUCCCGUACACCAAAAUGCACAGGUUGUGAACUCGAAGAGUAGGGCGGGACACGUGGUAUCCUGUCUGAAUAUGGGGGGACCAUCCUCCAAGGCUAAAUACUCCUGACUGACCGAUAGUGAACCAGUACCGUGAGGGAAAGGCGAAAAGAACCCCGGCGAGGGGAGUGAAAAAGAACCUGAAACCGUGUACGUACAAGCAGUGGGAGCACCUUCGGGUGUGACUGCGUACCUUUUGUAUAAUGGGUCAGCGACUUAUAUUCUGUAGCAAGGUUAACCGUAUAGGGGAGCCGCAGGGAAACCGAGUCUUAACUGGGCGUUAAGUUGCAGGGUAUAGACCCGAAACCCGGUGAUCUAGCCAUGGGCAGGUUGAAGGUUGGGUAACACUAACUGGAGGACCGAACCGACUAAUGUUGAAAAAUUAGCGGAUGACUUGUGGCUGGGGGUGAAAGGCCAAUCAAACCGGGAGAUAGCUGGUUCUCCCCGAAAGCUAUUUAGGUAGCGCCUCGUGAACUCAUCUUCGGGGGUAGAGCACUGUUUCGGCUAGGGGGUCAUCCCGACUUACCAACCCGAUGCAAACUACGAAUACCGAAGAAUGUUAUCACGGGAGACACACGGCGGGUGCUAACGUCCGUCGUGAAGAGGGAAACAACCCAGACCGCCAGCUAAGGUCCCAAAGUCAUGGUUAAGUGGGAAACGAUGUGGGAAGGCACAGACAGCCAGGAUGUUGGCUUAGAAGCAGCCAUCAUUUAAAGAAAGCGUAAUAGCUCACUGGUCGAGUCGGCCUGCGCGGAAGAUGUAACGGGGCUAAACCAUGCACCGAAGCUGCGGCAGCGACACUAUGUGUUGUUGGGUAGGGGAGCGUUCUGUAAGCCUGCGAAGGUGACCUGUGAGGGUUGCUGGAGGUAUCAGAAGUGCGAAUGCUGACAUAAGUAACGAUAAAGCGGGUGAAAAGCCCGCUCGCCGGAAGACCAAGGGUUCCUGUCCAACGUUAAUCGGGGCAGGGUGAGUCGACCCCUAAGGCGAGGCCGAAAGGCGUAGUCGAUGGGAAACAGGUUAAUAUUCCUGUACUUGGUGUUACUGCGAAGGGGGGACGGAGAAGGCUAUGUUAGCCGGGCGACGGUUGUCCCGGUUUAAGCAUGUAGGCUGGUUGUCCAGGCAAAUCCGGAUAAUCAAGGCUGAGGUGUGAUGACGAGGCACUACGGUGCUGAAGUAACAAAUGCCCUGCUUCCAGGAAAAGCCUCUAAGCAUCAGGUAACAUCAAAUCGUACCCCAAACCGACACAGGUGGUCAGGUAGAGAAUACCAAGGCGCUUGAGAGAACUCGGGUGAAGGAACUAGGCAAAAUGGUGCCGUAACUUCGGGAGAAGGCACGCUGGUGUGUAGGUGAAGUCCCUGCGGAUGGAGCUGAGACCAGUCGAAGAUACCAGCUGGCUGCAACUGUUUAUUAAAAACACAGCACUGUGCAAACACGAAAGUGGACGUAUACGGUGUGACGCCUGCCCGGUGCCGGAAGGUUAAUUGAUGGGGUUAUCCGUAAGGAGAAGCUCUUGAUCGAAGCCCCGGUAAACGGCGGCCGUAACUAUAACGGUCCUAAGGUAGCGAAAUUCCUUGUCGGGUAAGUUCCGACCUGCACGAAUGGCGUAAUGAUGGCCAGGCUGUCUCCACCCGAGACUCAGUGAAAUUGAACUCGCUGUGAAGAUGCAGUGUACCCGCGGCAAGACGGAAAGACCCCGUGAACCUUUACUAUAGCUUGACACUGAACAUUGAGCCUUGAUGUGUAGGAUAGGUGGGAGGCUUUGAAGCGUGGACGCCAGUCUGCGUGGAGCCAACCUUGAAAUACCACCCUUUAAUGUUUGAUGUUCUAACGUUGGCCCCUUACCGGGGUUGCGGACAGUGUCUGGUGGGUAGUUUGACUGGGGCGGUCUCCUCCCAAAGCGUAACGGAGGAGCACGAAGGUUAGCUAAUCCUGGUCGGACAUCAGGAGGUUAGUGCAAUGGCAUAAGCUAGCUUGACUGCGAGCGUGACGGCGCGAGCAGGUGCGAAAGCAGGUCAUAGUGAUCCGGUGGUUCUGAAUGGAAGGGCCAUCGCUCAACGGAUAAAAGGUACUCCGGGGAUAACAGGCUGAUACCGCCCAAGAGUUCAUAUCGACGGCGGUGUUUGGCACCUCGAUGUCGGCUCAUCACAUCCUGGGGCUGAAGUAGGUCCCAAGGGUAUGGCUGUUCGCCAUUUAAAGUGGUACGCGAGCUGGGUUUAGAACGUCGUGAGACAGUUCGGUCCCUAUCUGCCGUGGGCGCUGGAGAAUUGAGGGGGGCUGCUCCUAGUACGAGAGGACCGGAGUGGACGCAUCACUGGUGUUCGGGUUGUCAUGCCAAUGGCACUGCCCGGUAGCUAAAUGCGGAAGAGAUAAGUGCUGAAAGCAUCUAAGCACGAAACUUGCCCCGAGAUGAGUUCUCCCUGAGACUUUAAGUCUCCUGAAGGAACGUUAAAGACGAUGACGUUGAUAGGCCGGGUGUGUAAGCGCAGCGAUGCGUUGAGCUAACCGGUACUAAUGAACCGUGAGGCUUAACCUUACAACGCCGAAG